RNAcentral lists this ribosomal RNA (77 nucleotides) under Nitrospirota bacterium. Lineage: Bacteria; Pseudomonadati; Nitrospirota. The record is from RNAcentral.
CGAACACGGAAGUUAAGUCCUCCAUGGCCGAUGAUACUUUGACCGCGAGGUCAUGGGAAAGUAGGUCGCUGCCAGAU